GCUAGAACGAACGCUGGCGGCGCGUCUUAAGCAUGCAAGUCGAACGGCAAGAGGUAGCAAUACCUCCUAGAGUGGCGGACUGGUGAGUAACACGUGGGUGACAUACCCUUCAGAUGGGGAUAGCUAUUAGAAAUAGUAGAUAAUACCGAAUACGAGCACAGGGGUUAGAGAUCUGUGAGGAAAGGAGCUAAGGCUCCGCUGAAGGAAUGGCCUGCGGCCCAUUAGCUAGUUGGUGAGGUAAGAGCCCACCAAGGCGAUGAUGGGUAUCCGGCCUUAGAGGGUGAACGGACACAUUGGGACUGAGAUACGGCCCAGACUCCUACGGGAGGCAGCAGCUAAGAAUAUUCCGCAAUGGACGAAAGUCUGACGGAGCGACGCCGCCGUGGAUGAAGAAGGCCGGAAGGUUGUAAAAUCCUUUUGAAACUGAAGAAUAAGCGUUGUAGGGAAUGACAGCGUGGUGACAGUAGGUUUUGAAUAAGCAACGGCUAAUUACGUGCCAGCCGCCGC
RNAcentral lists this ribosomal RNA (507 nucleotides) under uncultured bacterium. RNAcentral describes it as "bacterial SSU rRNA". It matches the Rfam family "Bacterial small subunit ribosomal RNA", at positions 26 to 518 of the family's 1533-position model. The record is from RNAcentral.